UGUGCCUACGGGGGGCAGCAGUGGGGAAUAUUGCACAAUGGGGGAAACCCUGAUGCAGCGACGCCGCGUGAGUGAAGAAGUAUUUCGGUAUGUAAAGCUCUAUCAGCAGGAACGAGACAAGACGGUACCUGACUAAGAAGCCCCGGCUAACUACGUGCCAGCAGCCGCGGUAAUACGUAGGGGGCAAGCGUUAUCCGGAUUUACUGGGUGUAAAGGGAGCGCAGACGGCAGUGCAAGUCUGGAGUGAAAGCCCGGGGCCCAACCCCGGAACUGCUCUGGAAACUGUGCGGCUAGAGUACUGGAGG
RNAcentral lists this ribosomal RNA (305 nucleotides) under uncultured bacterium. Its description in RNAcentral is "bacterial SSU rRNA". It matches the Rfam family "Bacterial small subunit ribosomal RNA", at positions 334 to 655 of the family's 1533-position model. The record is from RNAcentral.